GCCGGGCUCUGCUCCUCCAUGUCUGGGGCCCUAACGCGCAGCAGGAGGUGGAGACCACGCAAAAGCCAACAGCUGGGAUCGUUGGAAGGUUCUUUCACUCUCGUGUCUGUGGUUGCUGCCAGGGAUUGGCCGGGCUGCCAGGACACCACCUCCACCCCUCCGCCCACCCCUGCCCCUCCAUGAGGCCUGGGCGUCCUCACAAUGUAGCCACCAGUUCCAAGACCAAGCCUUCUGAUAGAGCCAGCCGUAUCUUCUGUUGUGACCGAGGCUCAUAGUCACAUAGUGUCACAUCUACCACCCAGAUUCAGGGGAGGGACACAGCCGACACCCUGGGAGAAGGGUAAAGAAUUCGCCAACGUGUUUGGGAUCUCUCCACCUGGGGACCUCGUCCCUGACUGACGAAAUGCCUUCUGCCCUUUCAGUCGGCGCCUCCCCGCCGUCAGAAGCAGCGGAUAUUCUGCUUCAAGUCUGGCUGUGUGUGGGGCCAGGGGUCUCGCUUCUGUGGGCAUGGAUCCUUGACUGCAUUUAAGUUUUAACAACUAUGUGACCCGAGCAGAUGAGGCCCCACGUCUUCACGGAGGUGGCGUUUCUCUGCAGCAAAACCAGCAGGACAUCCAACAGCCACGCCAUGUGACCCACGUGGCCGCCACGGCCCUGUGUCAGUGGCCAGAGUCACGGGUGCCGUCGCUGAGGCUCCUGGAGCGGCACAGGCAGUCACGAUAGGACCGGAGCUCCCCGCGUGGAUGACCCAGGUCGUUUUGCAGAAGGAACAAGUGGAGCAUCUCCAGGCCUCUGCCCUUGUCCCCCGACACUGAGGUCCCCGAGGAGUGGACGCCUGCAACCCUCCCUCACACCCAGCAGUCCCCGUUCUGCAUCCGUGGCCGUCCGACAGCCGCCUCCUGGGCCAAGGACGUCAUUAACCCAGCGUCACGCCUGAGUCCACCAUGCACACAUGCAACACGCAUGCACACCCUCGUGCACAUGUGUGUGCACAUGCACAGACAUACGCCCAAUAAGGCACACCUGUAGACACAAGCAAGUGUGUGUGUGAACACGCGGACACACACAGUCCCUCACAGUGCUUGUUGUUUGGGGUUCACGGCCUCCAGUGGGACCUCUGCGUGCCAUUUCUAUCUUGUCCACCCUGGAGGGUGUCGUCCACUGCUGUGGACGGUGGCGCCCCUGCCCCAGGACAUGCUGGCACUGAGACCUGCCCCGACUCCAGCUCCUGGCGGCACAGCUGUACUGGGGCCUCAUUUGGAGACAGGCUCUUCGCAGAGUAAUUGAAGUGGGAAUCUCCAUGUGAAAUUGUCCUGGGUUAGGGUGGGCCCGAAGUCCAGAGGCUGGUAUCCUGAAAAGAGGAGAGGAAGGGAGUGAUCGGAGCACGUGGAAGGCAGGCUGUGAGGACAGAGCAGAGAGCGGGUUGCAGUGUCCACAGCCCGGAGCUGGACAGGCAGGAACAGGCUCUCCUCGGAGCCUCGGAGAGGACUCAGCCCUGGACACCCGCCUCUCGGACCUCCGGCCUCCAGACUCAGAGAGGAUCAAUUUAUGUUCUAAGCCGCCCCAUUUAUGGGAAUUCGUUGCAGCUGCCUCAGGAGACGCAACCAAAGAUUUUAAAACAAGAUCCAAAUGUGAACAGUAGAAACAAUUAGCAUCAUGAGUAAACAAAGGGGCCCCUUACCUGUGUGUGCCAUAUUGGGGUCCCCGCCGUCACAGGGUCAGACGAGCAGCGUCUGUGGGAGACGGGGGGUCUGCUCGCUGUUGCCGGGCUUCACAAAUCCCUCCUCUGGCCAAUUGUUGCCCCAAUGUUGUCGGAGCUUCCAAAAUUUUAAAGAAAACUGGAAACUACAAAUUCCAUGUGAAAUUUCUCCAUAUUUAAAUGCUGGCAAGAAGCAGGCAUGUAUUAAAAUGCUGCGGGUUGACGCUGUGUCCAAGACCCCUGGAACAGCGUUUCCGAGCCCCCUGGGGGCUCACACCAGCUCUUCCCUGCAGAGCGGCCACCUGGAAACAGCUCCCACAGACCACGUGGCCCCCGCCGGAGCCGGCGCGCUGUAGCUGAGGAGCCGAGGGUCAGUUUCCAGGCCUCUUGGGAGCUGUGGGCAUCACGCUGGAGGCUUGACACGGGUCGUGGUGGGAGUGUCCACACCACAGGAAUUGGCAAAGGCUGCAGAUCCGCCUGUCCCUCCACCCCCACCCCACAGCCCAGAGCCCCUUGUUAACCACUGGCUCCCAGCACACCAGGAACCUGGGGCCCAGACGCCCGCCCGCCAGGGCCCCUGUGGCCCUUUCUUCCCCACGAGAGCUGCCUUUUUCCGUGCAAAGGACCGCAGGAAGGAGGACUCCUGUCAGUUUGCAACAGUCGCCUGUCGCCUUGAAUCCACGAACCCAGGACUCCUAGCUCACUGGGGCAGCCCAGCUCUCUCCUCCUCCUGGGUGUGGUGGGACCCCUCCCUGGCCAAUCGCGUCACAGUGGCCGGGCCCCACUGUGGCCAGGACGGUGCGAGAGAGGCUCUCCCGGGCUUACUAAGGGGCCGAGAUGCAAACCACAGCUCCUGCAGCAGUUCUGGGAGGGAGCCCGCCCGAGAGGAAGUCAGCGCAAGAAGGCAGAAUCGAGAGAGGAGGGAGGGAGAGGAAGAGAGACACUCGCACACACAUGGCACGUGCGCAGUACAUACACACGUGUGUGCAGCCAGUCCCCGUUGUUCAAGGAGUCCGUACUUGCAAACGCGUCUGCCCACUAGAAUCUGUUUCCAACCCCAAAAUCAAUUCUCAUGGCUUUUUGAUAGUCAUUUGCAGACACAGGCAGAGCAGCAAAAACCGAGUGGCCUGACACGCCCAUUCCCAACUGAGAAGGACCAGGCAACACGCUGCCUUCUGGGUCACUCUCCACUGCCAACAUGUCUUUCUGUCUAUUUAAUGCCAUGUUUUUCACAGAUCUGUGCGUUUCAUUGGUCAUUUCACUGUUUAACCCAAGCGCAGAGCUGAAGUGCCGUGCAGUGUUCUGAGCACAAGAAGGCUGCCACGUGCCGGCAGAGAGGAGGCGCAUGUUAGAUGGUCCUUGUUCGGGAUGAAUAACAACGCUGUUGGCUGAGAGGUCAGUGUUACUGAAUCAACAAUAUAGAUUAAAUCAGGUGUCUUUAAACAGAAACACACAUCAGACAAAGUGAUGUUCUGAUCAGUUGAUGAAACAUUGUGACCUAAGGCUCACAGGAACCCGAUCCCGCUUUUCUCCAGGAGCAACAGUUCAGUGUCCACCACUUCGGUGUUUGCAGCGACUUUACAGAACGUAACUAUGAAGAAUGAUGAUAGGCCAUACGCACACGUGUGUGUGUGUGUGUGUGUGUGUGUGUACAGAGAGAGAGAGAGAGAGAGGGAGAGAGGUGGAUUUCAACGACACAAUUUAAGCCCCUGGAUCCAGCCAUGCCUGAAGCUCUGGAUCCAUCUCGUGACCCC
Molecule: long non-coding RNA, 3453 nt
Organism: Equus caballus (horse)
Lineage: Eukaryota; Metazoa; Chordata; Mammalia; Perissodactyla; Equidae
Source: Ensembl